UGUUGUCUACUCAACCCAGGUAUCACAGAACUUUGGCAAUCAGUGUGUGGAACAGGUUGAUGACUGUCAGGAGGAUUUCCAUGGGGAACAGACAUAUUUCUUUCAGAAGAAGAGAAAUCCACACCAGCAGUUAGAUGAGCAGCAGCAGGUCUCCUUCCCUCGUUAAAUGUUGUACUUUAUGGAUACCCAUGAAUCUUGUAACACUUAUCAAUUAAGUGCCCAAAUUUCUUACAGUAUCUACAGAACAAAGAAUCCUUAGCUUGGUCAAAGUUAACUCUUUCUCUGAAAUGAGAAGAAUUAGGCACUGUGGCCUUAUUGAAACCAGUUGGAUUCUUGUUUGUGUGGGCAUUGAAAGACAUAGAGUCUUGAUUAAACUGAGAAGGGGACUGAACUUGUCUCUACUUCUCAUCAUUGACAACCAUAUUGUAGACACUAUCAAGGGAGGGAGGAGGCUGCAUCAUCAAUAGGUUACUCCUUACCCCCAAGUAUGCUUCAUUAAGGCCCAUAAGGAAUUGAAACACCUUAUUCUCAUCAUCUUCCUGUAUGAUGCCAUUUCUGGCAGGACAAAUGCAUCUUUGUCCAUGAUUUGCACACAUUGUUCCUAAUUCAUCCCAUAGACCUUUAAGUUUGUUAAAAUAUGAAGCUACAUUUAGAGAUCCUUGACAGGUAUGAGAGAGUUCUCUUUUAAGUUCAAAAAUUUUGGUUCUGUUAGCAGUACCAUAUCUAGCUGCGAGCUGUGCCCAUAUGCUCUGUGGAGUAUCAGAAUACUGCACACUUUCAGCAAUUUGAG
Molecule: long non-coding RNA, 790 nt
Filed under: Nicotiana benthamiana
Lineage: Eukaryota; Viridiplantae; Streptophyta; Magnoliopsida; Solanales; Solanaceae
Description: long non-coding RNA (NBEN_LNC013201)
Source: RNAcentral